This is a long non-coding RNA of Haliotis rubra (blacklip abalone), 3423 nucleotides long. RefSeq lists it as uncharacterized. NCBI's taxonomy places the organism in Eukaryota, Metazoa, Mollusca, Gastropoda, Lepetellida, Haliotidae. The record is from RefSeq and is a predicted model, not a curated record. The transcript has 2 exons.
GUCACCCAAUGGGGCAUUCUGUGUGUGGGUCACCCAAUGGCCAGCUCAGGAAAACUGUCACUCUUGUCUUGUCAUUCCUGGCCAAGCUGUGAUUGUGACCAAUGUUGACACAGGUAUCUCCUUGUCAUGUCCCUGUUAAUAGGGGAAAGAUCUAGGCUGAUUGCUGCCAUGUUAUUCUGUGACUGUUAUACUGCCUUGAUGGUGAGCACAGCCUUGAUGGUGAGCACAGCCGUUGUUGUCCAAGAUGUCGACCCAUGAGAAGACCGUGUGUCUGUAUGUUGACACCAUCAAUUGGCUACCUUCAGAGCAGUUUACUCUCUUAUCAAUGAGCAAUAUCAAACUAUACACCAUUAAUGGAUAACUAUCGCAGUGUUUUAACAUCAAUCCUUAUCUUAGCCUUUAAGCAUUAUUAACAUGAUUAAUGAGGAAAAUACAAAAUUAAGGGCUUGGCAUUGACAGCAUGUGUUCACAUAUAAUUUGUAGUCCCUCUUAGCUCGGUUAUUCUCUGUUAAAGAUGCAAGUAGGAGUUGAACAGGGGAGACAAUAAUGACAAUUAUGAUCAAAAGAGAACAGACAUAAUCAGUUUGUGGAUGAGAUUGAUAUUUUCACUUUUUUGACACUCAUUUUGAUGUCAGAAUAUCUUGUGAUAUGUUAUCAGGAAAAAAGGUUCUUUUCUCCCCUCGAUGUGCAAUACGUACAGUUGUUUUAAGGGCACUUCUAAGAAGUUGAUGGAUGUCGAAGAAGACACAAUUCAUGGAUACCAACUUCUUCAAUAUCAUCUUCUAGUGUACUUUUGUAACAAUGUUUUGAUACAGAUGCCACGGUGACAAUUUAUUGAAGAAUUUGUUGUCAGUUUUGACAGUAUUGUCAGCUAAUCCCAUAUUUGUAGGCUGGGUAAGUAUGGAGGGGUGGGGUGGGGUGGGGACAAUAUAGGACAAUCAGUUUUCUACUUUGCUUGUGAGCUGUUGGUGUGAGCUGAUGUCCAUGUGUCAAGCAGUUGGCCACCAUGGGGCAUACGUUCCCACUAAUCAGAACAUGAAAGUUUUUUGUAAAUGUUCCUGUGUCGUCAUUUUGUAUGAAAUUACAAUUGAAAUUGAUAUUUUAAAUACCUCAGGUUAAUCAUGAUCAUAAAAGGUUGAGUGCAGAUAGUUAAUUGAUCAGUACAAUUUCAAAAUUCUUGUUUGCCAUAAAUGUCUUUUUCUCAGUAACUGACCGACCAUAAUGUGCUGAAAUUUGAUAUGAAUGUUGUCUCCAUAUAUUUAUUUUAGCAUUGUUAAACAGUUUGUACAAAGUUGUAUUUGUUGUUUCUUAAAAUGCCCAAAGGAUACAGUCAGCUAAUUCAUAAAACUAAUAUUCUGUUUAAUUGUUCUUAGGGUAACCUUUUGAAAAUCUCACAGAACACCUGAUAUCUGGUAAUAACAGCCUUUAUGACGAUUUUAUAUGACUAGUCUCUGUAACCAACAGCAAGCAGAACAUUAGGCAGGCAUGAUCUUAGUAAUCUGUAAUGCAGUGGCCCCUUUGUCAACUUCAGUUUCUUUCAAACAGGCACAGGGGCGGUGGGGUAGCCUAGUGGUUUAAGCGUUCGCUCGUCAGGCCGAAGACCCCGGUUCGAUUCCCCACAUGGGUACAAUGUGUGAAGCUCAUUUCUGGUAUUCCCCGCUGUGAUGUUGCUAAAAGUGGCGUUAAACUGAACUCAAUCAGUCAAACAGGCACAGAUAAACAAGCAGAGGUUCCCGUUCCUGACUAUAGCUACCUCAAAACCAUAUUUGGCAGCCACUCCGUGGCCCUGACCUUUUUACAUCGAUAUUAACCACAAUGGCUUGAAAAACUCUUGGCCCAUAAUUGAGUUUCUGUGAACUGUUGUUGAGAUAUGUCAGUGUUGUCACCUUCCUGCCACGACUGACUGAUGAAAUAGGUGCUGGGUAGCUAGCUUAUUUUGAUGACAUAAUCUGGGUUUUGUACAAGGCUUGUAUUUUUGUAAUGAAGCAAAGAACUAAGUUAAUAUUGACAUUGCAGGUUCUUCCCCGUUGUCAGCCUUGUCCAUUGUGUGUGAUGCACAAAGUUAUACCUCUCUGGGAUCAUUGUCCUUGGUGUGUGACGUACAAGGUUACAUCCCUUUGUGAUGGUUCUUCAGUGUUGGACUGACAGGGUUAUACUCCUUUGUGAUCAUCGUCCUUGUGUUGGGAUGCUAGGUGUAGCAAAUGCUACUUUGGUCAAAUGUAAAUGUGCAAGAUAUUGUUAUAUUUUUUCAAGCAUGGGAAUUCCAAGAUUAUUAUUAGUGAGAUGUGCCAUGUGAUAAUGUGGGCAAACAAUAUAUGCUAUCAUAUAGUUUUGUAUCUAGUUUGCCUGCUUGUGGAAGUAUGGAGAUUAACAGAGCAUGUUCGUUAUUUGUAACAAAUACUUUAUAAGUGUCCCAAAAUCAAAGCUGUUAAGUACCUUAGAUGUUGAUUGUCUUAUGUCUUCUCACAAAUUCUUGUAUAAAGUGCUAUUUCUGUGUUGUGUAAUGACUAAAUAUUGCUUACAUCUUCCAAAUAUAUCUUUGCUAAGCACUAUGUUAUUUCAAUCACUACUUAAUAUGAAUCAUUGUGAAUCAAAUCUGAUGAAGAAGCAUACUUGUAAAACUAUAAUUUGUAUAUUUGAAGUAGCAGUAGUAUAACUAACCUAAUAAAAUCAACCAGGAGAUUGUGUAGAUCAAUGCUCAUGUUGAUUACUGGAUCGUCUGGUCCAGACUUGAUUAUUUACAGACUGCUGCCGUAUUGCUGAGAGUGGCGUAAAACUAAACUCACUCACUCUCAUAAAAUCAUUGUUCAAAGCAAAUUUCUUGAAGGAAAGUCAUUCUGGCAAGAUGUUGAACCUCUGUGUGAGAGCAUGCUCCAGCCCAUUAUGUCCAGCUCUCUAUGAUGGCAAACCCUGGACAGUUGUUAUUGGUUAUAAAUUAUGUUGAUGGUGACAUAUAUUUGUUAAGCUUGUGUCCUGAGAUGAUAUCUGCAAUAGACAAAAGUGUCCUCCAACUGAAUCUCAAACCUGAGGUAAAGAACCUUGCUUGUUUGGCGAUUACAGGUCCCUCCCAACUAAACCUUAUUGUGAAAAUGAUGAAUGGUUGUGCUACAAAUAUCUUGUAAGGUUAUGACUCGCUGUUGCCUGCAAAGUCUGUGUGUAAGUGUUUAGAAACUGACCUGUGUAAGUGGGUCCUCCUUCUUGUCUGCUACUGUCACGGGACCAGCCACUUGUAUGGGUACAGUUGUUUUAGUUGUUACUUUGUCACACAUACAGUUUGUUAAACCACACUAUUUAUGUAUAACUUAUUUCACCUUAUCCUUAUUUCAAGUUUAUUUGUAUAUAAAUUGUAUUAUUUGUUUUCUGCAAUAGUGGUCACACACAAAUCUUUGAACAUAAGCUGAUGAAUAAAUGAGUAUCGUAUAA